This is a non-coding RNA of Phascolarctos cinereus (koala), 1276 nucleotides long. The record is from RefSeq and is a predicted model, not a curated record. NCBI's taxonomy places the organism in Eukaryota, Metazoa, Chordata, Mammalia, Diprotodontia, Phascolarctidae.
GGGGGUGGGGCUUUCCAUUCAGCCCUUCGGUUUUUUUUCGCGGGAAGUCCCGGCUACUGUUGAUGAGGAAACUAAGGCUGAGCGAUAACUGACUGACCCAGAGUCACCCAGCAGAGUGUCUGGAGCGGGAUUCGAACUCGGGUCUUACUGACUCAAGUGUGGCACCCUGUCCAUCGGGCCAUCGCUUUCGUGCUCAGCCCAUGGAGGGACGUUCAGGGGGACCUUGUCUGGCCUGACCUUUGGAGAUCACUGGCAGCCGUGGCUCAGCCAUCACAUCUUCUGCUCCUUUCCUUGGGCUGGCAUGGAGUUCCUCUGGGCCUCAGGACUUAAACUCAUCAGAGUUCUGGCUUCUCAAGACUCUUGCCUUUCCCAAGAAAGGAGAAACAAGGAGGAGCAAGAAGAGGAGGGAAUGGCUUCUGGGGUCCUGACAACUAGGUCCCAGAUUUCCUGAUUCAGAAGAAAAGUCACAAAAUCAAGCAAUCAACUCCAAAACAGGUUAUUUCUGCAGGAGAAUCACUGAAGGAACAAAUCAAGGAUGGUUCUUGGGAUUGUUAUGUCAGGCUAGAGAGGCAGAAGGAUAAGCAGGAAAGACAAUCUAGGCAAGUAACAGUCAGUAACAGAAAAAUAUUUAACAAAGCAAGUGUGCAUAAAUAUAAUACAUUUGGGAAAAAGUUCAGAAUGGGAUCCAUCCUUGUUCCGCAGCAAGGAGGUCUUAAAGGAGACUGUCUCCACAAGGUUGGUACAUUUGGAAAGAGCUUCAAACAACGUUCAUAACCAAUUAACCAUAAGAGAAUCUCCUUGUGGAAGAAACUCUAUAAGUAUAAUAAAUGCAGGAAGCGCUUUAGUUACUACUCACAUUUGAAUCGUUACCAUAAAAUACACAUUCAAGGGAAACUUUGUAAAUGUAAUGAAUGUGUCAAAACCUUCAGGAUCAAUUUAUCCUUUAAUCUGCAUAAAAGAAUUAAUGUUUUAGAGAAAUCCUACAGAUGUAUUCAGUGUAGGAAAAUCUUUAGCAAGAAGGGACAUUUUAAAACACAUAAGAUAAUUCAUAAUGACAAGAAAUUAUUCAAAUGUAAUAAAUGUAGAAAAGCCUUUAGCGGUAAUGAAUACCUAACUCAACAUCAAAUGAUUCAUAAGGCAAAUAAACCUUGUAAGUGUAAUGAACGUGAAAAAGUCUUUAGCAAUAAUCCAUAUCCAACUCGACAUGUAACGAUUCGUAAUGGAGAGAAACCUUCUAAGUGUAGUGAAUGUGGGAAGGCCUUCAGCCAAAAGGGAA